GACGAACGCUGGCGACGUGCUUAACACAUGCAAGUCGAACGGAAAGGCCCUGCUUUUGUGGGGUGCUCGAGUGGCGAGCGGGUGAGUAACACGUGAGUAGCCUGCCCUUGACUUUGGGAUAACUUCAGGAAACUGGGGCUAAUACCGGAUAGGAGCUCCUGCUGCAUGGUGGGGGUUGGAAAGUUUCGGCGGUUGGGGAUGGACUCGCGGCUUAUCAGCUUGUUGGUGGGGUAGUGGCUUACCAAGGCUUUGACGGGUAGCCGGCCUGAGAGGGUGACCGGCCACAUUGGGACUGAGAUACGGCCCAGACUCCUACGGGAGGCAGCAGUGGGGAAUAUUGCACAAUGGGCGGAAGCCUGAUGCAGCAACGCCGCGUGCGGGAUGACGGCCUUCGGGUUGUAAACCGCUUUCGCCUGUGACGAAGCGUGAGUGACGGUAAUGGGUAAAGAAGCACCGGCUAACUACGUG
RNAcentral lists this ribosomal RNA (468 nucleotides) under uncultured bacterium. RNAcentral's name for it is "partial 16S ribosomal RNA". It matches the Rfam family "Bacterial small subunit ribosomal RNA", at positions 28 to 507 of the family's 1533-position model. The record is from RNAcentral.